This 221-nucleotide ribosomal RNA is filed under the name Escherichia coli. RNAcentral describes it as "partial 16S ribosomal RNA". It matches the Rfam family "Bacterial small subunit ribosomal RNA", at positions 1 to 218 of the family's 1533-position model. Lineage: Bacteria; Pseudomonadati; Pseudomonadota; Gammaproteobacteria; Enterobacterales; Enterobacteriaceae. The record is from RNAcentral.
UUAAAUUGAAGAGUUUGAUCAUGGCUCAGAUUGAACGCUGGCGGCAGGCCUAACACAUGCAAGUCGAACGGUAACAGAAAGCAGCUUGCUGCUUUGCUGACGAGUGGCGGACGGGUGAGUAAUGUCUGGGAAACUGCCUGAUGGAGGGGGAUAACUACUGGAAACGGUAGCUAAUACCGCAUAACGUCGCAAGACCAAAGAGGGGGACCUUCGGGCCUCUU